GAAGAAGUUUACACACACUUGCCUUUCUCAACUUGCCUAAUGGGAGUUUUCCAUACUGCAUGAUCUUGGUCCCUGUAUCUGUCCAGGUCAUUUUUGGAGGUCAUUUUGUACAACAGCAUCUGCUAUCUUUCAUGGCUGACUGCUGUAGCUGAGCUGUUGACAUUGACACUUUACACCCUCAUUCAGUUCUCCUCCACCCUCUGUACAUGUACCAAUUACCUGAUUCUGUUUCUUUGUAACAUAUCACUAAUGCAGUCAUGUCUUGUUCUACUUCCUAAUGCCUUAAGUCCAGUUACCCUCCCACCGGAGCAAUCACUCAAAGUAACAUGCUUUCAUAUAGCUUUCCUCAUCUUAGUGUGUUACAGCCUAUGUAAGCUCCUCCUUCAAUGUUUAUAUUCUAAUACAAAAAAAAAAAAAAAAAAACACUAAACUUUGUGCACAAACCACAAUAAGGCCAGUCAAUAUCUCAAAGACCCACAUCUUCCUAAUCUUCACAAGGCCAAGAUAGAAAAUGUUAAAUCUUAUGAAAGACUAUAGACUGAGAGAAGAUCUGAUAAGAUGUUUGAGUGCCAUAAGGGAUGUGGUGAGGAAUACUUAUAUGUAGACCUUAGUGAUCUUAGUAAUACAGGAAGUUAAGGCUUCAACCUUGAAGUUAAAUUUAAAAAGGAGAUAGGAAGAAAUUGUCAUACAUCAGGGUGGCAGACGACCGGAAUAGGCAGAAUAAUCUUUGUAAAUCAAGUGACUAUUGAGAGCUUUAAAAGAUUACAGAGAUAUAUGGAUAGGGAUGAUAGAUAAACAUAGGUCUCAUUAAGUGACUCCCACAUAUAGAUUGUCUUCCAGCUUUUCCUGUCCACAUGUUCUCAGAUAAUUGUAUAAAUACUUGCUAAGAACUGCACUCCAACUCAAUUACAUUCUGAAACAGAAUACAUGAUGAAACUUACAAUUAAAGGGACAUUUAAAAGCCCUCAUUAUCACAGCCAUUCAUACGGAGGAUAAACUAUUUACUUAUCUAUUUAUCUUUGCCUGUGCACAUGGGAAGACUAGGAUAGGGCAAAACAGAAACAAAAAUCAAAGCAGUGAAAAAAAAAAAAAAUGCUAUACUCCCGGAAACUUGAGAAUGUUCAAACUUCGCGGGUGAGUGAGCCAAGCGCAGGUGGUUGUGAGUGAACGCGCACUAACCAACAAAAAUCGAUAUAAUAGCCCUUCAUUCCAACACCUCAUGAGACCACCCUUAACACACAGGACACGGAGAAAUAACCAAACAACCAUGGGGAACCUAGCCAUGUAGACCAAUAGUUAGGGAUGAGGAGGGAAGGAGGGAUGAGUUAGCGAGACAGGAGGAGGGGAAGAGAGGCGAGAGAGAAGAGCCAAGGCCAGAGAGAGGAGGCAAGGUGCGCACGGCGGCCAUGUUUGUUGUGAUGUGUUGAGGCGGGGAGUGCGUGUUUGCCAGGUCCAGUCCAGAGGCCACCCAUUUUCUUCAUAGGGACCAAAACAAGGGGCUGCAGGAGGAGAGGAAGGAACUGACUGGGCGAGGACUGGGAGAGAGACAUGCUGGCUUGGUACUCGGGUAGAAGGUGUGCUGCGGGUGACAAGGUGAGUGAGUAUAGAUAGGUUGGAGUAUUAGCCAUAGCAUAGGAGUGGGAGAUCAUUGUAAGAAAACGGUGAUGAAGGAAUGAUGGGUGUGUGUUAGCUACAGCAGUGACGAGAGGCGCUUGUUAUUAUUAAAUUUUGCUUGCUUUUGUUACGUUUUCUUUCACCCAGUUAUCUAGUAAAGUAAAUGUUCUGUUCUCCUUUAUAUGCUCUAGCGUGAUUUAUAUUCUUUGUGGUCAAUAAAAUCUGUCUGUCUAUCUUGAUGAAGAGGAAGAAGGCGACGAAGUAAUGCAGCACUCGAUGAAGAAACGAUGGGUAUUUUGGUCUCAGAUGACAUUGAUGCUGAUGCUGCGGAUGCCGUAAAGGAAGCAGCCAUACCAACUUCAGAUACAUAACAAAUAUAGACACUCGUGGCUCUUAGUGGGGACGCUGCGUGGUAUUUCUGGCGAGGGGGCGAGCACUGCACUGGAUGAGAGAGAGAGAGAGAGAGAGAGAGAGAGAGAGAGAGAGAGAGAGAGAGAGAGAGAGAGAGAGAGAGAGAGAGACUUGCCCCCUAUUCCUUAUUCCCCCAUCAUUUAUUCUCCUUCUUUCCCUUAAUUUUCAUGUGUGCGUCAGUGCCUGAAACCCUCUGGCACCCCCGCCCCCUUGCACGCUGCCUCGCUUCCUCCUUGCCUAAUUAACACCUUGAUUAGUGGGUCUAUUGGGAGGGCGAA
Scylla paramamosain (green mud crab) is the source of this 2303-nucleotide long non-coding RNA. RefSeq lists it as uncharacterized. The transcript is spliced from 3 exons. The record is from RefSeq and is a predicted model, not a curated record. NCBI's taxonomy places the organism in Eukaryota, Metazoa, Arthropoda, Malacostraca, Decapoda, Portunidae.